Molecule: ribosomal RNA, 433 nt
Filed under: uncultured bacterium
Lineage: Bacteria
Description: partial 16S ribosomal RNA
Rfam family: Bacterial small subunit ribosomal RNA
Source: RNAcentral
AACGAACGCUGGCGGCAGGCCUAACACAUGCAAGUCGAGCGGACCUUUCGUGGUCAGCGGCGGACGGGGGUGUCACGCGUGGGAAUAUGCCCUUCUCUACGGAAUAGUCCUGGGAAACUGGGGGUAAUACCGUAUACGCCCUUUUGGGGACAGAUUCAUCGGGGAAGGAUUAGCCCGCGUUGGAUUAGGUUGUUGGUGGGGUAAGGGCCUACCAAGCGGUGGAUCCAUAGCGGGGUUGAGAGGAAGAUCAGCCACACUUGGGCUAGGACACGGUCCAGACUCCUACGCGAGGGAGCAAUGGGGAAUCUUAGAAUACGGGGGCAACCAUGAUCGAGCCAGGCCGCGUGAGUGAUGAAGGCCUGAGGGUUGUAAAGCUCUUUCAGCUGCGAAGAUAAUGACGGUACCAACAGAAGAAGCCCCGGCUAACUCCGUG